This is a long non-coding RNA of Neodiprion virginianus, 661 nucleotides long. RefSeq lists it as uncharacterized. The record is from RefSeq and is a predicted model, not a curated record. NCBI's taxonomy places the organism in Eukaryota, Metazoa, Arthropoda, Insecta, Hymenoptera, Diprionidae. The transcript is spliced from 3 exons.
AAGUGUGAUCUGUGAAGAAUGUCAUCAAUAACUUUGCAAAUGUUACUGCCGUUUAGAGUGUCGAAUACGACAUUAAAAAAGCAAAAUUCAACUGGAUUCUGAGAUAGAGCCCGACUGUAGAUUAAUCAGCGUUUAAGGAUCCGAUUGGCCGACUCCACUGAUCUCUAUUAGCGUUUUCUACUGGUUGCACUGAGUGCGCACUGGCUCGAACAGGGGGCACUCGUUCCGUGCAUGCAUCGCCCGGCAUCGGGGCAAACCUUCUGAGUGGAACGCCGUAAAACGUAUAAAGGCAGACUAGAUCAUAAUUUCUCCUAAAUCACAAAUAAUGUGACGUUACUCGACCGACUGCGCGACUGUCAGUUUUUUCAAGCAAGUGAUAAAGAAACCAAUUGAACAAACGCAACGGGCAAUAUUUUACGCACUCAGUGCCAAAUUCACGCACCCGAGCUGCCAGUGGAACACGCUGGAAAUACAAAUCUACCGCUAGUACGCUCUCAGUUCACACUCAGUGCAACCAGUGGAAAACGCUAUAAGUGGAAAACGGCAAUAUAUGCUUUAGAAGCAGAGCUACUCACGAACUUGGAAGCGCAAAGGAGAUAAAUGGUUGUUGGCAGCACUGGGAGCUAAUUUCGGAACGCACCAUUUCUUUCAUCAUCACUUA